CCUACGGGUGGCUGCAGUGAGGAAUAUUGGUCAAUGGACGCAAGUCUGAACCAGCCAUGCCGCGUGCAGGAUGACGGCUCUAUGAGUUGUAAACUCCUUUUUUACGAGGGUAAACCCCGACACUUGUUUAGGGUUGAAAGUAUCGUACGAAUAAGGAACGGCUAACUCCGUUCCAGCAGCCGCGGUAAUACGGAGGAUCCGAGCGUUAUCCGGAUUUAUUGGGUGUAAAGGGUGGGUAGGCGGUUCGAUAAGUUAGACGUGAAAUGUAGGGGCUCAACCUCGAAACUGCAUCUUAUACUGUUGGUCUUGAGAAUAGUUGAGGUAGGCGGAAUGUAUAGUGUAGCGGUGAAAUGCUUAGAGAUCAUAAAGAACACCGAUUGCGAAGGCAGCUUGCCAAACAGUAACUGACGUUGAGGCGCGAAAGCGUGGGUAGCAAACAGGAUUAGAUACCCUUGUAGUC
Molecule: ribosomal RNA, 460 nt
Filed under: uncultured bacterium
Lineage: Bacteria
Description: partial 16S ribosomal RNA
Rfam family: Bacterial small subunit ribosomal RNA
Source: RNAcentral